GCCCUGCACUUUGGGAUAAGCCUGGGAAACUGGGUCUAAUACCGAAUAUGACCAUGCACUUCCUGGUGUGUGGUGGAAAGCUUUUGCGGUGUGGGAUGGGCCCGCGGCCUAUCAGCUUGUUGGUGGGGUAAUGGCCUACCAAGGCGACGACGGGUAGCCGGCCUGAGAGGGUGACCGGCCACACUGGGACUGAGAUACGGCCCAGACUCCUACGGGAGGCAGCAGUGGGGAAUAUUGCACAAUGGGCGCAAGCCUGAUGCAGCGACGCCGCGUGAGGGAUGACGGCCUUCGGGUUGUAAACCUCUUUCAGCACAGACGAAGCGCAAGUGACGGUAUGUGCAGAAGAAGGACCGGCCAACUACGUGCCAGCAGCCGCGGUAAUACGUAGGGUCCGAGCGUUGUCCGGAAUUACUGGGCGUAAAGAGCUCGUAGGUGGUUUGUCGCGUUGUUCGUGAAAACUCACAGCUUAACUGUGGGCGUGCGGGCGAUACGGGCAGACUUGAGUACUGCAGGGGAGACUGGAAUUCCUGGUGUAGCGGUGGAAUGCGCAGA
Molecule: ribosomal RNA, 552 nt
Filed under: Mycolicibacterium frederiksbergense
Lineage: Bacteria; Bacillati; Actinomycetota; Actinomycetes; Mycobacteriales; Mycobacteriaceae
Description: bacterial SSU rRNA
Rfam family: Bacterial small subunit ribosomal RNA
Source: RNAcentral